GUCAGUGUAUCUGCCUUCUGUCAUAUCUGUCUGGUUAAGAUUGCUCUCCUGGCUGCAAUCCCUUAUCUGGAAGCUAGUUCCAUUGAACUCAGUGGAAUUUACUUCUGAGUAGAUGUGCAUGGGGCUGUAUUCCAGCUGUGAUCUGCAAGAUUUGCGUUUCCAGUAAUAACUAUUUUUGUUAUUUCUUUCCCAGAUCAACACUCCGAAACCAUUACUAUACACCUGUGCAUUUUUAUGUCAUUCUGUUGUGAAGACUCACUAAUGAUGAGUACAUCUAAGAACAUAGGAAGCUACUUCAUACUUAUCCAUCAGUUCAUCUAGCUCAGUAUAAGAGCAGCUCUCUUGGUUUUGAGGCAGGGGCUUCUCCCUGAGUCCCAAGAAAUGCCAGGGAUUGAAUCCGGGGUUUUCUGCAUGCAAAGCAAAUGCUUCACCAUUCACCCAUAGCUCAGUGGCCUGUAUUUCUUUUGUCUAACUUUUUGCCCCAUUGUAAAACAUGGAAAACAACUAACAAAGUUUAGGAAAUCUGCUUCCUGUUAAUUUUUUACUUUAGACAUUAAGUUAGUUACUAAACUGAAACUGGUACAGUACCUGCGUAAAUGAUACUGAAUACUCUCAAAAUGUGGACAAACAGUUCUUUAACUACCUGAUGCAAAGAGGAAGUCUAUUUAAAAGUUUUGAGAAGUUGUGUAAUGUGACUUUAUAUGUGUAUGUUGGCAGAAGAACAGCAUGAUUCCUGUACGUGGGUGUGGAUUGCUAGAAUAAUCAUGCUGAUGUAAUCCUGGAAAAUUUGACACAGACUAUAAAGGCUAGGGGAGUCAUGUUCAUGCUGAGCCUUUCAAGGAACACUGCCUUUUUUAUUUUUCACGUCGGCUUAUAUUGAAAUAUGUUCAGUAUUGUUUGGAAUUGUUGUCAUCUUCACUGCAA
This 924-nucleotide long non-coding RNA is filed under the name Podarcis lilfordi (Lilford's wall lizard). The record is from RNAcentral. Lineage: Eukaryota; Metazoa; Chordata; Lepidosauria; Squamata; Lacertidae.